This 499-nucleotide ribosomal RNA is filed under the name uncultured bacterium. Its description in RNAcentral is "bacterial SSU rRNA". It matches the Rfam family "Bacterial small subunit ribosomal RNA", at positions 791 to 1288 of the family's 1533-position model. The record is from RNAcentral.
UAGUCCACGCCGUAAACGAUGUUAACUGGGUUUUUGGGAUUUAUUUCCAGGAGCCUGAGGGAAACCAUUAAGUUAACCACCUGGGGAGUACGUUCGCAAGUAUGAAACUCAAAGGAAUUGACGGGGGCCCGCACAAGCGGUGGAGCAUGUGGUUUAAUUCGAUGCAACGCGAAGAACCUUACCAGGUCUUGACAUACAGCGAACUUUCCAGAGAUGGAUUGGUACCUUCGGGAACGCUGAUACAGGUGCUGCAUGGCUGUCGUCAGCUCGUGUCGUGAGACGUUGGGUUAAGUCCCGUAACGAGCGCAACCCUUGUCCUUAGUUGCCAGCACAUAAUGGUGGGAACUCUAGGGAGACUGCCGGUGACAAACCGGAGGAAGGUGGGGACGACGUCAAGUCAUCAUGGCCCUUACGACCUGGGGCUACACACGUGCUACAAUGGGAACGCACAGAGGGGCAGCAAACCCGCGAGGGGGAGCGAAUCCCACAAAACGUUUCG